CAGUCGCCGCGGUAAUACGAAGGGUGCAAGCGUUACUCGGAAUUACUGGGCGUAAAGCGUGCGUAGAUGGUGGUUUAAGUCCGUUGUGAAAGCCCUGGGCUCAACCUGGGAAUUGCAGUGGAUACUGGGUCACUAGAGUGUGGUAGAGGAUAGUGGAAUUUCCGGUGAAGCAGUGAAAUGCGUAGAGAUCGGAAGGAACAUCUGUGGCGAAGGCGACUAUCUGGGCCAACACUGACACUGAGGCACGAAAGCGUGGGGAGCAAACAGGAUUAGAUACCCCGGUAGUCCCUGUCUCUUAUAC
This 301-nucleotide ribosomal RNA is filed under the name uncultured bacterium. Its description in RNAcentral is "partial 16S ribosomal RNA". It matches the Rfam family "Bacterial small subunit ribosomal RNA", at positions 509 to 807 of the family's 1533-position model. The record is from RNAcentral.